RNAcentral lists this ribosomal RNA (254 nucleotides) under uncultured bacterium. RNAcentral describes it as "partial 16S ribosomal RNA". It matches the Rfam family "Bacterial small subunit ribosomal RNA", at positions 524 to 776 of the family's 1533-position model. The record is from RNAcentral.
UACGUAGGGGGCGAGCGUUGUUCGGAUUUAUUGGGCGUAAAGAGCUCGUAGGCGGUUCGAUAAGUCGGACGUGAAAUCUCCACGCUCAACGUGGAGGGGCCGUUCGAUACUGUCGUGACUCGAGUCCGGUAGGGGAGUGUGGAAUUCCCGGUGUAGCGGUGAAAUGCGCAGAGAUCGGGAGGAACACCCGUAGCGAAGGCGGCACUCUGGGCCGGUACUGACGCUGAGGAGCGAAAGCGUGGGGAGCAAACAGG